AACGCGAAGAACCUUACCUGGUCUUGACAUCCACGGAAGUUUUCAGAGAUGAGAAUGUGCCUUCGGGAACCGUGAGACAGGUGCUGCAUGGCUGUCGUCAGCUCGUGUUGUGAAAUGUUGAGUUAAGUCCCGCAACGAGCGCAACCCUUAUCCUUUGUUGCCAGCGGUCCGGCCGGGAACUCAAAGGAGACUGCCAGUGAUAAACUGGAGGAAGGUGGGGAUGACGUCAAGUCAUCAUGGCCCUUACGACCAGGGCUACACACGUGCUACAAUGGCGCAUACAAAGAGAAGCGACCUCGCGAGAGCAAGCGGACCCCAUAAAGUGCGUCGUAGUCCGGAUUGGAGUCUGCAACUCGACUCCAUGAAGUCGGAAUCGCUAGUAAUCGUGGAUCAGAAUGCCACGGUGAAUACGUUCCCGGGUCUUGUACACACCG
This 434-nucleotide ribosomal RNA is filed under the name uncultured Escherichia sp. RNAcentral describes it as "bacterial SSU rRNA". It matches the Rfam family "Bacterial small subunit ribosomal RNA", at positions 958 to 1392 of the family's 1533-position model. The record is from RNAcentral. Lineage: Bacteria; Pseudomonadati; Pseudomonadota; Gammaproteobacteria; Enterobacterales; Enterobacteriaceae.